CAGUCGCCACGGUAUACGUAUGUCACGAGCGUUAUCCGGAUUUAUUGGGCGUAAAGCGCGUCUAGGUGGUUAUAUAAGUCUGAUGUGAAAAUGCAGGGCUCAACUCUGUAUUGCGUUGGAAACUGUAUAACUAGAGUACUGGAGAGGUAAGCGGAACUACAAGUGUAGAGGUGAAAUUCGUAGAUAUUUGUAGGAAUGCCGAUGGGGAAGCCAGCUUACUGGACAGAUACUGACGCUGAAGCGCGAAAGCGUGGGGAUCAAACAGGAUUAGAUACCCCGGUAGUCCCUGUCUCUUAUACAC
Molecule: ribosomal RNA, 301 nt
Filed under: uncultured bacterium
Lineage: Bacteria
Description: partial 16S ribosomal RNA
Rfam family: Bacterial small subunit ribosomal RNA
Source: RNAcentral